AGUGAACGCUGGCGGUAGGCCUAACACAUGCAAGUCGAACGGCAGCACAGUAAGGGCUUGCUCUUACGGGUGGCGAGUGGCGGACGGGUGAGGAAUACAUCGGAAUCUACUUUUUCGUGGGGGAUAACGUAGGGGAACCUACGCUAAUACCGCAUACGACCUACGGGUGAAAGCAGGGGAUAUUCGGACCUUGCGCGAUUGAAUGAGCCGAUGUCGGAUUAGCUAGUUGGGGGGGUAAAGGCCCACCAAGGCGACGAUACGUAGCCGGUCUGAGAGGAUGAUCGGCCGCACUGGAACUUAGACACGGUCCAGGCUCCUACGGGAGGCAGCAGUGGGGAAUAUUGGACAAUGGGCGCAAGCCUGAUCCAGCCAUACCGCGUGGGUGAAGAAGGCCUUCCGGUUGUAAAGCCCUUUUGUUGGGAAAGAAAAGCAGCAGGUUAAUACCCCGCUGUUCUGACGGUACCCAAAGAAUAAGCACCGGCUAACUUCGUG
This 492-nucleotide ribosomal RNA is filed under the name uncultured bacterium. RNAcentral describes it as "partial 16S ribosomal RNA". It matches the Rfam family "Bacterial small subunit ribosomal RNA", at positions 29 to 507 of the family's 1533-position model. The record is from RNAcentral.